This is a long non-coding RNA of Mastomys coucha (southern multimammate mouse), 275 nucleotides long. RefSeq lists it as uncharacterized. The record is from RefSeq and is a predicted model, not a curated record. Lineage: Eukaryota; Metazoa; Chordata; Mammalia; Rodentia; Muridae. The transcript has 2 exons.
GGAAUAUGGAUAAGUAAACAAAUGAUUCUAAGCUAAGAAUCCUUAGGAUGUGGACAGUCCAGAAUAUUAUAAGAGACAACAGAGGAUAGAAUUUAACAUAUGGCUAAGAAGAAAGUUGAGAAGAAGAGUGAAGAAUUUCUUCCAUGUGUGUGGAAGAUGAUGAUACAUGACUAGCUAGCAUCUUCUAGAAGCCAAUGAUCUUUGUUUAGACAAAAAGUUGGAUAAAUAUCAAGUCAAAGAAAUAAAAAGCAACUAAGGAAGAAUAUUGAAAUCAA